UACGGAGGGUGCGAGCGUUGUCCGGAAUCACUGGGCGUAAAGGGCGCGUAGGCGGCCGCGUAAGUCACUUGUGAAAUCCCGGGGCUCAACUCCGGGGCUGCAGGUGAGACUGCGUGGCUAGAGCACGGUAGAGGCGAGUGGAAUUCCCGGUGUAGCGGUGGAAUGCGUAGAUAUCGGGAAGAACACCGGUGGCGAAGGCGGCUCGCUGGGCCGUUGCUGACGCUGAGGCGCGAAAGCAUGGGGAGCAAACAGG
RNAcentral lists this ribosomal RNA (253 nucleotides) under uncultured bacterium. Its description in RNAcentral is "partial 16S ribosomal RNA". It matches the Rfam family "Bacterial small subunit ribosomal RNA", at positions 524 to 776 of the family's 1533-position model. The record is from RNAcentral.